GUCAGGGUGGCCGAGUGGUCUAAGGCGCCAGACUCAAGUUCUGGUCUUCGAAAGAGGGCGUGGGUUCAAAUCCCACUUCUGACA
RNAcentral lists this transfer RNA (84 nucleotides) under Macleaya cordata. It matches the Rfam family "tRNA". From Rfam's summary of the family: Transfer RNA (tRNA) molecules are approximately 80 nucleotides in length. Their secondary structure includes four short double-helical elements and three loops (D, anti-codon, and T loops). The record is from Rfam by way of RNAcentral. Lineage: Eukaryota; Viridiplantae; Streptophyta; Magnoliopsida; Ranunculales; Papaveraceae.